Molecule: long non-coding RNA, 802 nt
Organism: Cyprinodon tularosa
Lineage: Eukaryota; Metazoa; Chordata; Actinopteri; Cyprinodontiformes; Cyprinodontidae
Exons: 4
Source: RefSeq, a predicted model, not a curated record
GCGCGCGCCGUCGUUUACACGGUCCUCAAUUGCAGGCUGGACGGAUCCUUGCUGAGGAGAUUCUGCUGCGCAGCAGGAUAUGGUUGGGAUUAUCCGGACACCGAAUACAGAGACAUCCCGCUGUGUUUCCCGGAGGUUCUGUGCUCCAGACUCAUGCUCAUGUUGUUAACUGAUCGCAACUUUAGGCUCAACCCAGCAGGUUUGACUCGUGUGCAUCAGAGUUUGAAAACCUUUCUACCAAUCGAUGAGGUGAAGAAAGGUCCUUUUAUGCUGCAGGUCAGAAUCAAAGGAUAUCGGAAGACUGACUCAGGAGUCGAGGUGGGCGUCUGUUUGUCUGUUACAUCCCGUUCUGGAUGCCCUGUGUGGGAGAGCGUCCUAACUUUGCUGUCCAAAAACAGGCUCCAUAGACACUUACUGAGAAAAAAAGGCAAGUGUGACCAAUAUGACAGUUAGCUAUGACAGUUUUAUAUAAAAAUGAAAAAAAAAAACUGUCCUGUGUGUGUGAGGACAUUUGGAUGUUCUUGUUCUAGAAGAGCAACCAAAUGAUGAAGAAAACAUAAAGCGGGUGGAGGUCAGAGUUCCCAGGACUACCGGCCUGCAGUGCUUGUGGUCCUUCACCGACUACUCCCCACAUCGCCUCCUCUCUCUGCCAGCCAUGAUCUGUGGUCUAAAGACUCAAACAGCACCAAGGUUCUGGAUGAUGUCGGUCUGCUUGGCCGAAAUAGAAAAGCACAAAGGUGUUGAAAUCCUCACAGCUCCUACCAAUGUCACCGUUCAGUUUAAUGAGACUGAGCCAGAGUCA